This is a long non-coding RNA of Acromyrmex echinatior (Panamanian leafcutter ant), 533 nucleotides long. RefSeq lists it as uncharacterized. The record is from RefSeq and is a predicted model, not a curated record. NCBI's taxonomy places the organism in Eukaryota, Metazoa, Arthropoda, Insecta, Hymenoptera, Formicidae.
CCGAAAAAGACAUGUACCAACUAAGAACGAGAAAAUAAGUGGCGCAACGCGCGAACUACUAUACAUAUACCUAUCGUCACGUGCUUCCCAAGAGACACAGUGUAAGGAGUGUAACACAUAUAUUUUUGUUUGCCGAUUUUAUACCGAGUUGAAAUGAUUAAUGAUCGCAGUGUUAAAAGUACACUGUGACUGUGUCUAUCGCUGGAAGACAUCAUUUAUGUGUUGAACAAUCAGAAACAAUGGACGAAUGAAUCGCCGAACCGAACAGUUUGCAAUUAUAUCUGUUGUUAAACAAAGAGCUCAAGUAUAUCGAUGAAAUUCGGAGAACUGACUCAAUCAGGCUCAACUAGUGCUUCUCCUUUCGAUUACAGUUUACCAUAUUUUCAUUCAAUUCAAUUUCCAAGAGAGUGUGAGUGCAUCAUGUCCAUCUGGUGCAUCUUGGCCCUUAGCUGAUUCCAUAAUUAUCGAUAUGCAUCGAUUCACAUAUAGAAAUAUAUGUUCUUGAUAUUAUGAAUAAACGUAUCUUGAAAGCA